AUGGGAAUGUCUCAGAGAACAGAGUGCAGGGGGAAUGCUGUAGUGGAUCAGGGGGGAAAUAAGCAAAAGCAAAAACAAGAGAAAGACAAAGGAAGGUAUAGAGAAGAAGGGAAAAGAAAAUAUGGAAAGAUGUGGGGAACUGGAGAUCAAGAAGGAUUAGACAAAGAAGUGUGGGGAGUAAGACGUAACAAAGACCAGAGAAGGGAUCAUGCACAUGAACCAAGUGAGGAAGACUGGGAGAAGGAACAUGGAACACAAAGAAAUAGAGAUGAAGAGUUGAGUGGCAAAGGAUGGGGAAGAGAAUCCAGAGAAGGUCCAAGAGAAGAGGAAAGUCAAGCUCAAGACGGACAAACCACUUUGGAGCUAAAAGAAAGAGAUCAGAAAGUCUCAGAGAGACAAUGGAAAGCAACCAUGGAAGACAUAUGUGGAAAUGUCCAAGAGCUGGAUGGUCAGGAACAGGACUUAAGAGAUCAAGGGAAAGGAAAGAGAGGACAGAAUAGUCAAAAAUGGGAAGCAGAGUAUGGAGACGUUAAAGGACAAAUUGAACACAAGCACUCUGAAGGAAGACAGGAAGAACAACCCAAGGGAGAGGAACAAGAAAUAGAAUGUGGAAGAUGCAAGACAAGAGAAAAUGUCAAAAAUCAGAAAGAAGACAUUGGAAAAAGUCCGGAAGAAGAAGGUGGAGGAGCCCUGAAUGUGGAUAAUGGAAUGAGUGACACAAAAGAUGCAGCAGAAUCUGAUUGGGAAAGACCAUGGGAAAAAGGGAGUGAAAGGACGAAUGCAAAAGAAGACCCAAAGGGGAAACAUUGGGCAAAAUUACACAGAGGAGAAUUAGAAGGAGAAGACUGGGUAAAAGAGGAUGAAGAAAGCCUAAAACACCUAGGGGGAGACAGAGGAAAGAUGAAAGGAAAAGAAAGUGGUUUAGAAUGGGAAGUCACCAUAGAGAAACAUGGGGAAAGUUCAUUGAAUAUAAAAUAUAGAAAAGAAGAAGAAAUAGGAAAUGAGAGAGGGAAAGAAAGAAAAGAAGAAAUGCAUAGAGAAUUAGAAGAAGAUUGUCAAAAAAUUGACAACGGGGAGAAAUUGGAAUUCAGUGCUGGUCAAGAAGAAAUAUUCUGGGGAACUGAAGUCCAGGGGCAACUGGAAAGACAGGAAAGUCAGGAAAGCUCUGAGGAAGAGCAGAAAUAUCGGGCAAGAGAAGACGGAACUGCCCAAAGACUAGAACAAGACAACAGAGAAAGGGUGUCAGCACAGGACUGGGAAGGAGACUGCUGA
This 1272-nucleotide long non-coding RNA is filed under the name Phascolarctos cinereus (koala). RNAcentral's name for it is "lncRNA (ENSPCIG00000036403.1)". The record is from RNAcentral. Lineage: Eukaryota; Metazoa; Chordata; Mammalia; Diprotodontia; Phascolarctidae.